This 2746-nucleotide long non-coding RNA is filed under the name Sus scrofa (pig). RNAcentral's name for it is "lncRNA (ENSSSCG00175023133.1)". Lineage: Eukaryota; Metazoa; Chordata; Mammalia; Artiodactyla; Suidae. The record is from RNAcentral.
CUUCCGAGGCGGCGGCGGCGGCGGCGCGGGCGCUCCCCGGCGCGAGCCCACGCGUCCUUCCCCGCGAGGUCCCUGCGCGGCGCGGCCCAGCCCGGCGUCUGUUCCUCCUUUCCGUCACCUGCUGCUCACCUGCCUCACUGAAGCACCCCAGGUGUCGAAGUCACUGAGCCCGAGGAGAUGACGUGACUUCAGGAUGAACGCGGUGCAGCUGGCUGGAUCUGAUUCCUCUCUGCUCCUUCUUCAUUGUUUUAGAAGAAAAAGAAUAGCUUUACUCUCAGAUGUUCAUUGAAGACUUGCUAAACUUAGGAUCCAAGAGCAGGAGAAAACCUUUGCCAAUAAAGUUUUGUAGACAGAAACGCCACACUGAACACUGCCCAUGGCCAAGCCUUUGACUGGAAAGGCUGUCCUGUCCAUGCAGGAGAAAGAAGCCGCGGUCCUUGGAGGCCAAAGCCCUGGAUCCCAACUGAGUCUGUGCAAGGAGCUCGGAGAAGAACAGAGGUGGCAUCAGCAGACAGGUCCACCCUUGUCCUUGGAGGCCGAAGCCCUGGAUCCCAACUGGGUCCGUGCAAGGAGCUCGGAGAAGAACAGAGGUGGCAUCAGCAGACAGGUCCACCCUUGUCCUUGGAGGCCGAAGCCCUGGAUCCCAACUGGGUCCGUGCAACGAGCUCGGAGAAGAACAGAGGUGGCAUCAGCAGACAGGUCCACCCUUGGCCGUGUUGGGAGGUACAUCUUAAAGUUUUGCCAAAGUGCAAUCAGCAUUGAUGUCCAAGGUGUGGGCCCACCUUGAACCGUGUCAGGAGUCCCCCGAGGCACUGAAGGACCCUGAACAGUAAAGAGUGACGAGGACACACGUAUCAACCGGUACUUUCCUUUUUGGGAAUGGAAAACCCGAGUUAAUGUGAACAGCCUUGAAGAUGACGCCGUAUAUGAAUACAUGAAAUAAUAGGAAAGGAGGAAGGAGAAAAUGAAGGAGAAGUCAUAUUUGCUGCUUUUGACCACUGUGCUGUGCCAAGCAGAAAUAUUGAGAACUGGUAACUACUGUUGUUUGUUUUGUUCUGUUCUGUUGUCUUUUUCGGGCUGUGCCCGUGGCAUAUGGGAGUUCCCAGGCUAGGGGUUGGAUUGGAGCUGCAGCCUCCAGCCUACACCACAGCCACAGCAGUCCCAGAUCUGAGCCACAUCUGUGACCUACCCCACAGCUCACGCUGGAUCCUAAACCCACGGAGCACAGCCAGGGAUGGAACCCGAAUCCUCAUGGAUACAAGCUGGGUUGGUAACCCGCUGAGCCACAGCGGGAACUCCAGGGAUGCAGUCUUGAGAGGCAAGAGUGGAGGAGGAAAGAGUACCUCUGAGGUUGUCACAGUCUUAGGGGAGAGCCAGGGGUGAUGUGGGCUCAGGUCAUGGCUGAGGAAGGGCUUUUCAGGUCCAGAAUCGAUCUUGGAGUCAGUGCCAGCAGAUCUUACUAUCGCGUUGGACAUGGGAUGGCAGGAAAAUGAAGGACUCUGGAUUGGGUGGGUGGUGAGGAAGGCUUUGGGUGGCAGAGCGGACCUCACACCAGAUGGGAGAAAGUUGUGAUGACUUAAGGUGCUAUGAACAACUUUAAAUGGGUGCUUCGAAAACUGUAAGCUGCCGGAAAGCACCCUAAACCCUGGGAGGGAGGAGUCAUCACCCGGAAGUCCCCAAAAGCUGAGGAUAGGGACUCAUCUUUGGGGUGUGUAAUUCUGUGUAUAACAUUCUCCACGAUAUCACUGGUCUAUCCCGGUUCAUAGACCACUGUAAUCCAUUAUUAUGUCUAAGCAAUGGUGAAUAACUGCUAUAGAAAAUAAGAAAGGCAGACAAGACUGACGAAGCCUUUAUUUCACUAGUAUUUAAUGUAGCCAGGACACAUUAAUUGAUUUAGCAAUAAUCUUUAUAAAUAUUCUGCCUGGGAGUUCCCAUCGUGGCUCAGCGGAAACGAAUCCAACUAGGAAACAUGAGGUUGCGGGUUCGAUCCCAGGCCUCGCUCAGUGGGUUAAGGAUCCAGCGUUGCUGUGAGCUGUGGUGUAGGUUGCAGACAUGACUCGGAUCUGGCAUUGCUGUGGCUGUGGUGUAGGCCGGCAGCUGCAGCUCUGAUUCGACCCCUAGCCUGGGAACCUCCAUGUGCUGCAGGGGCGGCCCUAAGAAGACAAAAAAGACCAAAAAAAAGUAAAUAAAUAAAUUUUCUACCAAAGAGGUAUGGCAUUAAAUGUCAUUUUACUUUUCUGUCCUCGGUACCUGAUGGACUAUGUUACUGAGUUAUAAUCAAAACGUGAUACCUACGUAUUUUCCUUUAACAACCUGAUAUGAGUAGUGUCAUGUAUCUUUGAAUUUUAAUGGUCAUCUUGUUCUUAAUUUGCUCUCAAAUGGUUCCCCUUAAUUUAUUACUUACGAAUUUUGAAGUAUGAGUUGCAAUCCAGAAUGUUGGAAAUGUUGACAAGUACAACCUACAUGUAUAUAGAAAUUUGAUUAUGUAUCUAUAAAUUGUCUGGUACCUUUCUAUGCUGAGCCAGUUUUGUUUGCUUAGUUGGUUUUGUUUUCGUUUUUGUUUAUUUAAUGCCAGUGGAUUUCUUGCUGAAGGAGGCAGCUUGCGUGUGGCAGAAAGACUCGUAGACUCGUAGUCCUCUUCCUACUUUUAAACUAUUUCCAUGAUCUUGAGCAGGUCUCUUAACUUUCUGGACUUUCAGCUUUUAUGUAUUAAAAAAACAAUAAAAGGAAAUGAUUCUGUAUGAUC